UGAGUACGAGAUGCUACGGCAUCGAAGCAGUCUAUGUCAUACUUCCAAGAAAAGCUUGCACUGUCAUAAACAAAGAAUGCCUGUACCAUAACCGACACAGGUGGGUAGGUAGAGUAUACUAAGGGGCGCGAGAUAACUCUCUCUAAGGAACUCGGCAAAAUGACUCCGUAACUUCGGGAGAAGGAGUGCCUUAUUUCUAAGGUUGCAAUAACAAGAUCCAAGCAACUGUUUACCAAAAACACAGGUCUCCGCUAAGUCGUAAGACGAUGUAUGGGGGCUGACGCCUGCCCAGUGCCAGAAGGUUAAAGAAGUUGGUUAGCAUUAGCGAAGCUGAUAACUGAAGCCCUGGUGAACGGCGGCCGUAACGAUAACGGUCCUAAGGUAGCGAAAUUCCUUGUCGGGUAAGUUCCGACCCGCACGAAAGGCGUAAUGAUUUGGAUACUGUCUCGGAGAGGGGCUCGGUGAAAUAGACUUGUCUGUGAAGAUGCGGACUACCUGCACCUGGACAGAAAGACCCUAUGAAGCUUUACUGUAACUUGAGAUUGAAAUUGGACUUUAUUUGCGCAGUAUAGGUGGGAGGCGUUGAGAAUAAUCUUGCGGGAUUGUUGGAGCCAUCAGUGAGAUACCACUCUUGUAAUGUUAGAUUUCUAACUUUGUAUCAUUAUCUGGUCAAAGAACAGUUUCAGGCGGGCAGUUUGACUGGGGCGGUCGCCUCCCAAAGGGUAACGGAGGCGCACAAAGGUUUCCUCUGAACGGGUAGAAAUCGUAUCUAGAGUGUAAAGGCAUAAGGAAGCUUGACUGUGAGACCUACAAGUCGAGCAGGGACGAAAGUCGGUCUUAGUGAUCUGACGGUGCUGAGUGGAAAGGCCGUCACUCAACGGAUAAAAGUUACUCUAAGGAUAACAGGCUGAUCUCCCCCAAGAGUUCACAUCGACGGGGAGGUUUGGCACCUCGAUGUCGGCUCAUCGCAUCCUGGGGCGGUAGUCCGUCCCAAGGGUUGGGCUGUUCGCCCAUGAAAGCGGUACGCGAGCUGGGUUCAGAACGUCGUGAGACAGUUCGGUCCAUAUCCGGUGUAGGCGUUAGAAUAUUGAGAGGAGCCUUCUCUAGUACGAGAGGACCGAGAAGGACAUACCUCUGGUGUACCAGUUAUCGUGCCAACGGUAAACGCUGGGUAGCUAUGUAUGGAGUGGAUAACCGCUGAAAGCAUCUAAGUGGGAAGCCCACCUCAAGAUAAGUAUUC
This 1240-nucleotide ribosomal RNA is filed under the name metagenome. Its description in RNAcentral is "bacterial LSU rRNA". It matches the Rfam family "Bacterial large subunit ribosomal RNA", at positions 1564 to 2813 of the family's 2925-position model. The record is from RNAcentral.